RNAcentral lists this long non-coding RNA (521 nucleotides) under Olea europaea (common olive). RNAcentral's name for it is "long non-coding RNA (OEUR_LNC001858)". Lineage: Eukaryota; Viridiplantae; Streptophyta; Magnoliopsida; Lamiales; Oleaceae. The record is from RNAcentral.
AGACGAACCUAACAUUUUUCAGCCGAGAGAUGACCGGAAAAGGUAUUGGUUUCCUUCUUUACCGUUUGGAAUUAGGGAAUUUGUAAUGUGAUUUUCUCUCUUUACAGUUUUUUGACUUGGUUACUGAUAGAAGGUCUCACAUUGUGAUAUGAGUAGGUAGACUGCACAAUCAUUAAAUUAGACAGCUAGUGAAUUUCCAUAGAAAUUGAUCAAAUGAUUAUUUGCAUUGUAAUCCACCAUGAUCUGAGUAGUUUCUAUUUGAAUUAUAGUUACAUAAAUUAUUUGACAUGCUAAUUAAUUUGUUUGAUGAAGGGAAAGAAAUUUUGGAAUAUGUGGAUGAAAUUAUACCGGUGGAGUUCGAUAAUAAGGAUGUUGUGGAUAUUAUGAACAUAGCGGGUGAUGAUACGUUAGUUGGAGAUGGUGUGAUUGUGCCCGAGCCGAGUAUGAAAUUUAAGGAUGAAAAUGAAAUUUUCAAUUUGUACAAAAGAUAUGCAUAUGAAAUUGGUUUUCCGGUUAGGAAA